CAGUCGCCACGGGAAUACGGAGGGGGCAAGCGUUAUCCGGAAUUAUUGGGCGUAAAGGGUACGUAGGUGGCCUUUUAAGCGUAGGGUAUAAGGCAAUGGCUCAACCAUUGUUCGCCCUAUGAACUGGAAGGCUUGAGUGCAGGAGAGGAGAGUGGAAUUCCACGUGUAGCGGUGAAAUGCGUAGAGAUGUGGAGGAACACCAGUGGCGAAGGCGACUCUCUGGUCUGUAACCGACGCUGAGGAGCGAAAGCGUGGGGAGCGAACAGGAUUAGAUACCCCUGUAGUCCCUGUCUCUUAUACA
Molecule: ribosomal RNA, 301 nt
Filed under: uncultured bacterium
Lineage: Bacteria
Description: partial 16S ribosomal RNA
Rfam family: Bacterial small subunit ribosomal RNA
Source: RNAcentral